RNAcentral lists this transfer RNA (58 nucleotides) under Anisakis simplex (herring worm). It matches the Rfam family "tRNA", at positions 8 to 63 of the family's 71-position model. Rfam says of the family: Transfer RNA (tRNA) molecules are approximately 80 nucleotides in length. Their secondary structure includes four short double-helical elements and three loops (D, anti-codon, and T loops). Lineage: Eukaryota; Metazoa; Nematoda; Chromadorea; Rhabditida; Anisakidae. The record is from Rfam by way of RNAcentral.
UGGCCUAUUUGAUAAGGCGUCGCUCUCCUAAAGUGAAGAUUACAGGUUCGAGUCCUGC